ACUCUAGAAGAUGAAGGCCAUG
Molecule: microRNA, 22 nt
Filed under: Blattella germanica (German cockroach)
Lineage: Eukaryota; Metazoa; Arthropoda; Insecta; Blattodea; Blattellidae
Description: Bge-Novel-5_3p* (star (passenger))
Source: RNAcentral